Leucoraja erinaceus (little skate) is the source of this 3427-nucleotide long non-coding RNA. RefSeq lists it as uncharacterized. Lineage: Eukaryota; Metazoa; Chordata; Chondrichthyes; Rajiformes; Rajidae. The transcript has 3 exons. The record is from RefSeq and is a predicted model, not a curated record.
CUGCCCUCUGGAAGACCAUGAUGGAGAUAUGCUUUUAGAGCUCGGCUGUUAGCGAAGUUGGAACAGAAAACUGCUGGAGGAACUCAGCGGGUCAGGCAGCAUCUGUGGAGGGAAUGGACACACUAUGUUUGGAUCAGGAACCUUCAAGACUCCAUUCUUAUCUCCAUUCUUAUCUGGGUUAUGAUGACAGGAAAUGGCCAAGAUUUAUGAUCACCGUGGACUGGAAUGACAGAUGAUUGAAGAUCUCAAAGUUCUCUGCGACCUUCCACAUCUGGAGCUGGAUAAGCUGUUGAGGAACAACUUGGUGAGAUUUCUUCUGGCCCUGGAUCUCCUCCAGAUUGUUUGAAGGGCCAAACAUGACAGAUGUGUGAGUGCCAGCAGUUAUCCGGCGGAUGCCGGAGGUUGGUCGAGGACGCGCCGCCAAGAGAACACGGUAUCUGCGGAGGGAAUGGACAGAUGACGUUUUGAUCGGGAUCCUUCAAGACUCCAUGCUUGUCUCCAUUUACUAAGUCGAUUUCUGACGACUGGAAAUGGCCACGUUUGAUGAUCACCAUGGAUUUGAAUGACAGAUCCUUGAAGAUCCCGAAGGCUGAAUCUUGCUCCACCUUCUCUGUUCACAUACGGAGCUGGUCAAGAACAGACUCAGCCAGAGGUGGCCGCGGACAAGGACGAGCCCAGUGUCUGCCGAGAACAAGGGUCAAGGAUGGGCCCAUGGUAGGUGCCGGAGGUCGGUCAAGGACGCGCAUCCUAGAGAACAAAGAGGAAUGGACAGACUAUGUGUGGAUCGGGAACCUUCAAGACCUCAUUCGGGACCACAUUUGUCAAUCAUCACCCCAACAGAAGAAAGACUUCCGGGGCUGAUGGGCAGACUGUCUCAAGCUCGCAACAAAGACCGACUGACAAUCAUCAGAGAGAGGGUGGUGUCCCUCAACACACGCGUAACACCAACAUUGUCAUACUGCUCAAGGACAAGGAGAUCACAGCUAGUGCAACAACUACAGGGACAUCGCACUUCUGAGUGUUACAGGAAAGGCCUUUGCCAGAGUGAUCCUACAAAGACUGCACAGACUCGCUGACCUGAGGCACAAUGUGGUUUCCAUGGAGAUAGAUCCACCAUGGACAUGAUCUCCCUGCGUCAAAACCAAGAAAAAUGUACAGGGAGGUCACUAAUGCAUGGUGGUGGAGGCCAAUACCUGAGUGUCGUAUGGGUACGGAGGGACAUGGAACUUGUGCAGGCAAGUAAGAGUUGGUUUUGGGAUUAUGUUUGGCAUAUUAUUUAAUUAUUUCUUAGCAUCUUAAGGGCCCUGUAAAUUUAACGAUACUCUGAUAAAAUGUUCAGUAUUAAAUAAAUGCCUACUGUAGAACAUUGUCCACAGUGUAAUUAAAGACGCGGUUCAUAAUAUCUCGUAGUUGUAGUGAGUGUCUAGAAUAUGCGAUGGGGUGGGCUGGUAGUUGAGGCAGGCACGAUAGUGGCAUUUUAGCAACUUUUGUUUCGUACAGGUUUCUUGUCUCCAUUUACCAUUCUCAUGACAGGAAAUGGCCAAGAUUGAUGAUCACCAUGGACUUGAAUGACAGAAAAUUGAAGCCGCUCAAGACCGGACUCGGCCCGCAGUGGCCAUGAACAAGGACGAACCCAGCACUCGAAGUGACAGCUGAGACAAGUGUCAAGUACGGGCCCUCGGUAGGUGCCGGAGGUCAGACUGCUCACGGAAUGGUGCGCCGCCGAGAAGGAAGAGGAACCAUCGAGACCAUAUUGGUCACUCAUCACCCCAACAGAAGAAGGACUUCAGGGGCUGAUGGACAGACUGUCUCAUGCUUGGAAUGAUUACCGACUGACAAUCAGUAUUAAGACGAAUGUUGUCAUGGGUCAAGGCAUUCCACUCCCCUCUGAAAUCAUUCUAAACACCAGUCAGCUGGAAAUUGUCAUCCAAUUCACCUACCUAGGAUCAACAGUGACUGGUAGCCACUCUCUGGACGAGGAAAUCAAUUCACCUACAGUAAACCACCUUCUGGGGGAUAUCCAAGCAGACAUGGAAGAACAGGAAUAAUAAUGUCUUAUUGGCAGCAUUCCCUCAGAUUAUCAAUCUCUCUCCUGUACUCUGACUCUCAUUAUCCAUUAUUUGUCCCAACAUCUGUGGAUUCGUCGGUGAAAUUUAAAGACGGCAUUGGAAUGGUCUGGCUUUGCAGUCCUGGUCAUAGAGCAGGGGGCUGAGCACACAGCCUUGAGCUGGUCCUGUGUUGGUUAUAGUGGAGAGGGUGUUGCCAGUUUGUGCAGAGCUGGAGGCCUUGCUCGAGCUUAAGUUUGAGCCCCACGGCAGGGCCGUGGACUUACCAUCCGAGCCUGAAAUCCCUUUCCUGUGAUCGACACUGCCUGCGAAUUUCAACAUCAAAGAGCUCGUAAUCUCGGGUAGAGACUGAUAUCGGGAAGGUCCAAAGUCGCAUGAGGUUCGACCAGCCCCAACCCGUGAUCUGAUCAUCUGGCGCGGGGGAGCUGAGAUCGCCCCGACGCGGAAGGCCCGACCUCCGACUACGGGAGCCAAGAUCGCCGCGUCAAAGGAAGUCUCGAGCCCCCCCACCACGGGAGAACAAAGAAAGGAAGAGAUUUAACUUUUUCCAUGGGGAUCAUCAGCCUCUGAUUGACCUGGGAUUGACCAAAGGACAAGUUCUGAAGAGAUGGCCAUGUACCAAGGGAAACAUGUAGAAGCUUCAUCGCUCCAAGUCAAGUCAAGUUUAUUUGUCACAUAUGCAUACGAGAUGUGCAGUGAAAUGAAAAGUGGCAAUGCCAGUGGAAUGUGCACUCCUGACUCUCCUGUGUUCCUGAGGAUGUGCUGCUACUCGGAAUAGACUGAGCUGCUUCUCCGCCUAACUGCCUUCCCGUGCCUGGCAUGGGACAUCGCUCGAGACUUCAAGUACAUCUAUUUAUUCUGAGGCUAUGGCUUCUGGUCCAAGACUCCGACUGCUGGAAACAUCCUUUCCACAUCCUCUCUUACUAUUCGGAUUGCUUAUUAUGGGCCUUUGGGAUCUUCAGUGUUGCCCUGCCCUUCAAGUCAAUGGCUGAUGAUCUACCUCCAACAUUUUGCUGCUCAGUGCCAAAGGCAAAAAUCGAGCAGAAACCCAUUGAAGCCUCAUUACUACGGAAUGCAAUCUGUUCCAAAGAGAGAGAUCAGAUGUCACCAGAAACCCACUGUAACCACUCUGGACACUGCUCUUCCAGGGUUCAGGACGUUACUCAGUACGCACCCUUCCAAAGUUUGUCUAUGAAGAUAGCAAGACUUAACCUGUGGAGGUCAUGAGGACCAGUUGGUGUACUGUCCAACCAAGGAGUUGUUCUGAAGUCUUGACCUCCCUUUCUUUUGCAGCAGGUGAUUCAAAUUCCCCCCCAUUCUUUCAAAGGUCACUGUAAAAGCCACUAAUAAAGAGCCGUGAU